AGGGUUGUAGUUAAUUAUAACAUUUGAAUUGCACUCAAAAAGUAUUGAAUAUCAAUCUACCUUG
Molecule: transfer RNA, 64 nt
Filed under: Oestrus ovis (sheep bot fly)
Lineage: Eukaryota; Metazoa; Arthropoda; Insecta; Diptera; Oestridae
Description: tRNA-Ala
Source: RNAcentral